AACAAGCCCUGGGGCAUCUCCCCUCAGGCCAGUGGUGUUCCUCAAAACCACGGCACUGCUCUGGUGCCUGACACACGAGGAUUCACAUGGGACUUGGCUCACAAAAACAGGGCAGUUAUCCUCAGAAAGGGGCUGAGCUGGGCUGGGCUGAGCUGAGCUGAGCUGAGCUGAGCUGAGCUGAGCUGAGCUGAGCUUCCUGCCCAUCAUCCCUGGUCACUGCUGGCUGAAGGAGCUUCUGCUUUGGCACCCCAUUUCCCUGCCACAGCUCGGAUUUUCCCUCUCCUGAUGGCACAGUGGAGAGUGGGGGGAGGCUGCAGAGCUGUGGGCCAAAGAGAGGGCUUUCUCUGAAACGCUGGCUCCGGUGCGGGGCAUCGCUGUUUCCCACUGGCUGGCUUUUUUCCUCUGUCCCACACCGGGAAGAGAGCCGGGCACUUCUGCACGCUUCCCAGCACACCGCUGUUUUUGAGCACAAGCCCAGCCCACGGGCGCAGUGCCGUCUGUGCUUCUGGCUGCACGGGAGCCCAGCGGGGCCCAUCAUGGCCUCGCGUUCACGGCUCUUGGCCUCUGCUUUCAGUCGGAUACAUCCCCGGGAUACUGCUGGCCUUUCCAAGGGUCUCAGAGCGAGGUGCUAAUCCGGUUGCCCAUGCCAAUACAACCGACGACCGUCACCAUCCAGCACACCUCAAAGGCAGCCUCUCCGCUGGGCACCGUCAGCAGCGCCCCCCGAGAUUUCACUGUCUCUGGACUGGCUGAGGAAGGCAAAGAGGAAACUCUGCUGGGGACCUUCACUUACAACGUGCAGAAAGAACCGACCCAGACCUUCCCUCUGCAGAAUGGGAACCCCAGAGCCUUCCAGCUUUUGAAGCUCGGCAUACGGAGCAACUGGGGAAAACGAGGAUACACCUGCAUUUAUCGAGUGCAGGUGCACGGGAAGAUCGUGGGAGCAAGUGCUGACCACCAGACACAUGUGGACACCUUACCUGAAUAGUUAUUAAAGAGUUAGAUGGAGAAACAGGCCAGAGGGUUGUGGCUGUUGGUCUGCUGCAGGGCAAUGUCAUAUCAGAGGCCCUCUCCAAGCUGCCAAGUUCUGCCUCGUGCAGGCUGAGGCCUUCCUCAGGCUUUCCACUUUCCCUCCGCUUCAGGGACGCUUCCUAACUAAGCAAAAGGAGGUGAUGCUCCUGUAGCCUUUCCUUGUCACAGUUCCUUGACAAAAUCCUGCAGCAUGAGGGGCAACCCGCCAUCUCAUGCCAAGUAGGAGUCAUCAGACAGCCUGGCAGCAUUUGAGGGUCAUGAUCCCCAAAGUACUGGCCCAUUUCCUUCAGAUGGCACCUUGGGCCUGGGGACAGGGUCUGGUAGGGGUCCACAUGGGGUGCAGCCAUGUGUGGGACCCCUGAGGAGUGUCUGGGGUGUGUAAGGAGGUCCGAGCAGCCCAGCUGCUGCGGAGCGGGGAUACUGGCUCAGCUCCCUGUGCCCGCGCGCGCUCCCAGGCACAGCCCUCCGCUUCUGCCUUCUGCGUGUCUUUAAGAGAGCCACCGUUCCCCCAGCCUGAAAUGCCAAAACACAGCCAGGUCCCAGCUGAACGCAGAACACACAAACAUCUGGUUUUUUCAAGGGGGCAGAUUUGCCCAGUUCAGCCCUGUAUCUUCAACAGCAAGCACGCAAGGGUAUGGACCUACACCCAUUCGUCUCCGACUGAUGUAAACUUCAAAAGCUAAAGCCAACACUGCCACUGUCAGCCCUGCUACCCUGCUAAGCAUGAGAGGCCAGGAAACCAGUGUGGUCUUCUUCUCACUUCCGUGGGUGCAGCUUGG
Molecule: long non-coding RNA, 1811 nt
Organism: Columba livia (rock pigeon)
Lineage: Eukaryota; Metazoa; Chordata; Aves; Columbiformes; Columbidae
Exons: 3
Source: RefSeq, a predicted model, not a curated record